RNAcentral lists this ribosomal RNA (253 nucleotides) under uncultured bacterium. RNAcentral's name for it is "partial 16S ribosomal RNA". It matches the Rfam family "Bacterial small subunit ribosomal RNA", at positions 524 to 776 of the family's 1533-position model. The record is from RNAcentral.
UACAGAGGUCUCAAGCGUUGUUCGGAUUCAUUGGGCGUAAAGGGUGCGUAGGUGGCAAGGUAAGUCGGGUGUGAAAUCCCGGGGCUCAACCCUGGAACUGCACUCGAUACUGCCAUGCUCGAGUACUGGAGAGGAGACUGGAAUUUACGGUGUAGCAGUGAAAUGCGUAGAUAUCGUAAGGAAGACCAGUGGCGAAGGCGGCUCACUGGCCCGGUACUGACGCUGAGGUGCGAAAGCGUGGGGAGCAAACAGG